AACUUACGCUAAUACCGCAUACGACCUACGGGUGAAAGCAGGGGAUCUUCGGACCUUGCGCGAUUGAAUGAGCCGAUGUCGGAUUAGCUAGUUGGCGGGGUAAAGGCCCACCAAGGCGACGAUCCGUAGCUGGUCUGAGAGGAUGAUCAGCCACACUGGAACUGAGACACGGUCCAGCCUCCUACGGGAGGCAGCAGUGGGGAAUAUUGGACAAUGGGCGCAAGCCUGAUCCAGCCAUACCGCGUGGGUGAAGAAGGCCU
RNAcentral lists this ribosomal RNA (260 nucleotides) under uncultured bacterium. RNAcentral's name for it is "partial 16S ribosomal RNA". It matches the Rfam family "Bacterial small subunit ribosomal RNA", at positions 155 to 417 of the family's 1533-position model. The record is from RNAcentral.